UCAUGUAUGGUUACAUCACCGUUUAUUUCUCUGCGGAGGAGUGGCAGGAGCUAGCCGAAUGGCAGAAGGAGCUGUCCAAGGACGUGAAGAAGAACAAUCAUGAGGCUUUGCUCUCGCUGGUGGCAGACAGGGGGCUGCAAACAGGGGAGUAUGAGAGGGAGAGCAAGAGAUCCCGCUGCCGAACAGGCUACCAGUAGUGCCCGGAGCCUCCUCAUGGCCCAGGACCUCACUGCGCCAGGCACUGUACAAACCAACAGUCCCUGCCCCACACAGCUUCCAGGAUAUACAACAUGACAGAUGCGGGGCACAAGGAACCAAUGAGACAAUACUGAACAGCAUGAGAGCCAGAGGACACUGCACACCCGGUACCUAAACAUUUUCAAGUUUAGGUCAUGUCUAUCUGGGACGCUACCAGCACAAGGCACGGUGUG
This is a long non-coding RNA of Malaclemys terrapin pileata, 431 nucleotides long. RefSeq lists it as uncharacterized. The record is from RefSeq and is a predicted model, not a curated record. Lineage: Eukaryota; Metazoa; Chordata; Testudines; Emydidae. The transcript is spliced from 3 exons.